This 496-nucleotide ribosomal RNA is filed under the name uncultured bacterium. RNAcentral describes it as "partial 16S ribosomal RNA". It matches the Rfam family "Bacterial small subunit ribosomal RNA", at positions 29 to 507 of the family's 1533-position model. The record is from RNAcentral.
AUGAACGCUGGCGGCGUGCCUAAUACAUGCCAGUCGAGCGAACAGAUGAGGAGCUUGCUCCUCUGACGUUAGCGGCGGACGGGUGAGUAAUACGUGGAUAACCUACCUAUAAGACUGGGAUAACUUCGGGAAACCGGAGCUAAUACCGGAUAAUAUAUUGAACCGCAUGGUUCAAUAGUGAAAGACGGUUUUGCUGUCACUUAUAGAUGGAUCCGCGCCGCAUUAGCUAGUUGGUAAGGUAACGGCUUACCAAGGCAACGAUGCGUAGCCGACCUGAGAGGGUGAUCGGCCACACUGGAACUGAGACACGGUCCAGACUCCUACGGGAGGCAGCAGUAGGGAAUCUUCCGCAAUGGGCGAAAGCCUGACGGAGCAACGCCGCGUGAGUGAUGAAGGUCUUCGGAUCGUAAAACUCUGUUAUUAGGGAAGAACAAAUGUGUAAGUAACUAUGCACGUCUUGACGGUACCUAAUCAGAAAGCCACGGCUAACUACGUG